GCAGGCAUAGCUGAAUGGUAGAGUAUUCGACUGCAGAUCGAGAGGUGCCCGGUUCUAACCCGGGUGUCUUCU
Molecule: transfer RNA, 72 nt
Filed under: Echinostoma caproni
Lineage: Eukaryota; Metazoa; Platyhelminthes; Trematoda; Plagiorchiida; Echinostomatidae
Rfam family: tRNA
About the family: Transfer RNA (tRNA) molecules are approximately 80 nucleotides in length.
Source: Rfam by way of RNAcentral